AGCGAACGCUGGCGGCAUGACUUAACACAUGCAAGUCGCACGGUCGGGGGUAACCUCGGCAGUGGCGGACGGGUGAGUAACGCGUAGGUAUCUAUCCAGAGGUGGGGGACAACCGCGGGAAACUGCGGCUAAUACCGCAUGAUGACGUGAGGUCCAAAGCAGCAAUGCGCCAUUGGAGGAGCCUGCGUUCGAUUAGCUAGUUGGUGGGGUAAAGCUUACCAAGGCGACGAUCGAUAGCUGGUCUGAGAGGAUGAUCAGCCAC
This 262-nucleotide ribosomal RNA is filed under the name uncultured bacterium. RNAcentral describes it as "partial 16S ribosomal RNA". It matches the Rfam family "Bacterial small subunit ribosomal RNA", at positions 29 to 311 of the family's 1533-position model. The record is from RNAcentral.